AGAAUCAACGCUGGCGGCGUGCCUAACACAUGCAAGUCGAACGAGAAAGUGGAGCAAUCCAUGAGUAAAGUGGCGACCGGGGGAGUAACACGUGACUAACCUACCCUUGAGUGGGGGAUAACCUCGGGAAACCGGGGCUAAUACCGCAUAACAUCUUUGGAUCGGAAGAACUGGAGAUCAAAGGAGCAAUUCGCUUAAGGAGGGGGUCGCGGCUGAUUAGCUAGUUGGCGGGUAAUGGCCACCAAGGCUUUGAUCGGUA
This 259-nucleotide ribosomal RNA is filed under the name uncultured bacterium. Its description in RNAcentral is "partial small subunit ribosomal RNA". It matches the Rfam family "Bacterial small subunit ribosomal RNA", at positions 26 to 285 of the family's 1533-position model. The record is from RNAcentral.